AUUUUUACCACAGCUGUCCCAGUGUUCUCCUGACCCCAGCUUGGAGGAACUAGUUGCAGAGAAAUUUAUCCAAAUAUACCUUCACAGAGGCUGUCAAACAUUCAGUAACACAGAUUUCUAUGAAUUUGUUAUUACUCAACAGCGAAACAAAUUGAUCUAAUUUAGAUGUACCCUGUUUGUGCAGUUUGUUCCAAAAUAUUUUUCAUGUGUUCAGUUUUUACACAGAAAUGCUGGAAGAUCUCAGGUUCAAAACGUCCCUGGAGAUGUUCUGCGGAUGCCUGGAGGCUUCUGAGGACACCUUUGUCUUGGUGAAUUUUCAGUUAAGUGCCCUCACAGCAAGCUCAAUGACAGGAACCCAUCCUGACACACAAGCCAAGGCUAAUGCUUUUCAUUGCACACCCCCUGCUUAUGCCGUGGGUGUUCCCAUGUGAGCUCCUGAAGGUAAUCACUGGUAAGAUGUGUGACAGUUCUCUACAUGACUGUGAUUGGAUUUCUUCAGUCCUUGGCACAAUCCCACCAACCUCUGCUAUCUCUCAUGUUUCAGGCAAGUCUUUGCUGUUCCCUUUUCAGGCAGAGUCACCUCAGCACAAUCAUAGUGCAGCCUGUUUGGACUUCUCUCACUUUUUCUCCUGUUUCCCUCCUUAACAGGAUAGAAGUCAAGAUGUACACCGCAGCAGAGAAUGGUUAUUUCUAGUAACACUGGUUGUCUCUAAGUCUUGACAGCUUUGCCAACUUUCUCACCUUACAUGCAUGAAGAAUCAGUUUCUCUCAGUGAGGAUAAUUUUUUUUUUUUUUUCUGAUGUACACACUAUUUUUUAAACCGCUAUCUUCUCAUAAGCUGUUCUUUACUGACUUUGGUCUCAGCAGCAGACGCGUUGCCAGAGGUCAUGUUCUGAUCUCCAUCCCACUAAUCUCUCCUUGUUUUUCUGUUGUCCUGGGGGAGUGGGGAAGGGAAGAAAGUACAGCAAAACAAAUGUCACUACAGUUGCAAAAACUGUUUCUGGCCUUGCAGCUUAUAUGAGUAUUGUUGUGUUCCUGUCAAAACUGAGCAUUGUACCAUGUGUCCUCAGGACAAUUUCUGAUGGCCCUCUGACCUCAUGGUGGCAUUACAGUGGUCUCUCUGGUUCUGUUUUCAGAAGUAAAAACCAAUCAAACAUCAACUUUCAUUUUAAGAUUCCACUAAAACCAGGUUUUGUUUUUCUGGUUUCCAGUCAUAUGUUGCAAUGAUUGAGAGUCAGAUGUUUGCAGGGCUCUUGAUGUGAACAACAUGGAUUUAAAUAGCAAGGAUUUUAUUCAUGUUCCAUCUGGGGUCUGCAGCUCACAGUCAAGGAGCUGUAUGGAAGCUGUUCACACAUCACCAGAAGCCGCUCGUGUCAAGGGGAGCCACCUUUCCCUUGCUGUUUCCCUGAAGGAGAGCAGGAGGUGCCAGGCAGAUGUGUCUGUGGCUAAGGGUCAUGGCUUAGUGGCUGUGCUGCUCCUCACCUUGGUGCCUUAGUGUCACCAUCUCCCCAGCACCCAGCAGCUGGACUGCCCUGGGGCUUGGGAGAGGGGACACACGGGGGCAGGUAUUCAUGUCAAGGCAGUAAGGGAGAGAUGUUGCCGGCUGAUGAGUUCUAUUCCCAUCCUUUUUUUGGACUGACUCUCCAGGGACACCCCCAAGUGAGUCCUCCUAGGCUUUAAGCUUGGUUACGUCCCACAUCUGCUUCCUUGUGCUGCCUAAGGAUGCUGGUGAAAGAUGAGAAGAGAAAGUAGAGUUCAGUCCGAGAGAAACCAGCUGGAUGGUUCCUCACACCACCUGCAGGAAGGCUGUGGGACUGGCAUGGGAGCCUGGUGAUGCUCGGAGUUUACAGUGAUGUGCAAAACCUUGGCUGCUAGUUAGGACGUCCCUAAAUGACAGUUUUUUUCUGGAGGAUAGGAAGGAUUACUACCAAAAUAGUGUCACGUGCUUUUCCUGUCCUGACAGUCUUAGAAGCCUGCUUUUUAGGAGCCACUGAAGACAAGACAGACAGGCUUUUGGCUUGAUUGAUGGAUUGUCCUUUCUCUUAUGCUUUCUUAGAGUUUGUCUUUAGCCAGAGCACAAAUUUUGGUGGAGCAUUAUGAAUCUGCUGAACAUUUGCUGGAUUCACAAGGGUGCCUCUUGAAAAUGGUACUACUACCAAGCAGCUAGGAGGGCUCAUUGCUCCAGGAUUACAGCAUGUUCUGUUCAACUCUUAGUGGUAUGUACAGGGGAGGUAAAUAAAAGCACUGAAAGGAGCCCA
RNAcentral lists this long non-coding RNA (2258 nucleotides) under Anas platyrhynchos platyrhynchos (common mallard). RNAcentral describes it as "lncRNA (ENSAPLG00000027528.1)". Lineage: Eukaryota; Metazoa; Chordata; Aves; Anseriformes; Anatidae. The record is from RNAcentral.